CCUACGGGUGGCAGCAGUGGGGAAUAUUGCACAAUGGGGGAAACCCUGAUGCAGCAACGCCGCGUGAGUGAAGAAGUAUUUCGGUAUGUAAAGCUCUAUCAGCAGGGAAGAAGAUGACGGUACCUGACCAAGAAGCCCCGGCUAACUACGUGCCAGCAGCCGCGGUAAUACGUAGGGGGCAAGCGUUAUCCGGAUUUACUGGGUGUAAAGGGAGCGCAGACGGCAGUGCAAGUCUGGAGUGAAAGCCGGGGGCCCAACCCCGGAACUGCUCUGGAAACUGUGCGGCUAGAGUACUGGAGGGGCAGGCGGAAUUCCUAGGGUAGCGGUGAAAUGCGUAGAUAUUAGGAGGAACACCAGUGGCGAAGGCGGCCUGCUGGACAGUAACUGACGUUGAGGCUCGAAAGCGUGGGGAGCAAACAGGAUUAGAUACCCUUGUAGUC
This 440-nucleotide ribosomal RNA is filed under the name uncultured bacterium. RNAcentral's name for it is "partial 16S ribosomal RNA". It matches the Rfam family "Bacterial small subunit ribosomal RNA", at positions 338 to 795 of the family's 1533-position model. The record is from RNAcentral.